UGGGUUCCUGGUCACUGGACAACCAAGU
Molecule: non-coding RNA, 28 nt
Filed under: Homo sapiens (human)
Lineage: Eukaryota; Metazoa; Chordata; Mammalia; Primates; Hominidae
Source: RNAcentral